CAUUCCCAGCGAUUUUGUGUGAUGAUUCUGUGGGUGCUAUGCCCAGGCACUGUUUUUUUCAAAGCAUUCCUAGAUUUUUGUGCAUUUGUGCUGUGAACCUUUGAGAAGUAGUCUGUUUUAUUUCUUUUCCUGGUAGAAUCUAAGCAUUUGCAGCCUGUGUGCUCCUCCUAGUCCUCCAGUCUCCUCCAUGUGCAGGGUCUCUUAAGCAUACUCUGGAGACUCACCUUGCCUUUUCCCUGGUUUCUGGCUUUCACUGAAUUCUUGGCCUCCUUUGGCCUCCUUGAGCCUCUCUUAUUUCUGUCCUCUACUGGGGCUAAUUGCCAUCCCUAACCCUUCAUUCCACCUCCUUAAUGCAGCCUUACCACAAAAUGUUGUGUGAUAAAUGUUGGCCCAAAGUUUGGUAUGAAAG
RNAcentral lists this long non-coding RNA (409 nucleotides) under Marmota monax (woodchuck). Lineage: Eukaryota; Metazoa; Chordata; Mammalia; Rodentia; Sciuridae. The record is from RNAcentral.